This is a long non-coding RNA of Salmo trutta (river trout), 3666 nucleotides long. The record is from Ensembl. NCBI's taxonomy places the organism in Eukaryota, Metazoa, Chordata, Actinopteri, Salmoniformes, Salmonidae.
GCAGCCAGAGCUUCUGCAACCUGACAGCACUCAGAAGCCACCGGGAGAGACAGCACGGAGAGGAGAGGAUCUGGGAGGAUGAGGACAGGGCGGUGAGAGAGGAAGAGGAGGGAAGCACUGCAGUAAUCUCUAAUGAUUCAACCAGAGUUUCAGGUAAGGCUGGUUCUUUAUUAAUAUUUCCUCUUGUUUAGGCUAUGGAUUCACCUCUCAUUUGCAGGGUACUUGGAAUUCUGUGAACGUGUGUCUUGAAUCUGAUUAUUCUGUUCUAGAUAUGAUAUGCAUCUUGUUAUUUUGUCUUUUCAAUGACUCAGUAUUUACCUGUAUUUGACAAUUUUUCCUCUUUGCAGCAAAUCACAUCACUUGUGUAUCCACUGGUUCUCCUGACCCUGUCUAAUUGCUUUCUCUUCCCGUAGCCCAGCCUCCCCAGUCUCCUCAGUGCCAUCAUGACCUUUCAGGAUGCAGAGACAGAAGAGAGGCAUUUACGCUUCAAGCACCCAGUGGAGUAUGAGAGACAUCUCAGAGGUCGCACAGUGUUUGCCUGCUGUGUCUGUACAUUCCCCUCCUGCCUGCCUGCUCUCAGCUCACCAACGCACCCACAGCAAGUGGAGUCUGCCCCCCACUGGCCCAGAAGACUCUGUCCAAGAAAGCACAGACGGAGGAGAGGCUGAGGGUAUGGACAAUGAAAAACACCGAGCUGGUCCAAUGAGCUGUGAGCACUGUCAUAUCAUCUUCAAUGACCCUCGAACCUGGGAACGUCACAUGACGGCCAAGCACCCCCCCAUCCCUGUCGACACCUACUUCACCAGGGAAUGCCUACCUGACUUCUAGACCUGCCAGGGGUCAACUACGACCCUAUCGCUGCUCCUCCUGUGGAGAGAGAAUCAUACAGGAAAGCACCCUGACCAAACACUGCACUGAUGGUUCUGGGAGCAUAGAUACCAAGAUGAAGAGGACAAGAGGCAAGUUGGAGAGAUAGAUAGAUAGAUAGAUAGAUAGAUAUAGGAGUGUUUUCCAGGAGGGCCUUGACUAACUAUUUACAAAGUUGUUUAAUGAAGAAAUUACGUGUCACUUAGGAUAAAUCAAAUAUCAUUUCAUUGUAGGCCUUAGUGUCAACCCUUAUGCCAACUUUCUCCAACACCAACAGAAUCUUCACAAAAUAUAUUUUGAAUUAAUACCUCUUCUAGGGCUGUGAAGAUACCAGUAUCGCAAUAUUUUUUUCCAUGGCAAAAAUGAAAACAUGAAGCAGACCGGACUCUUUGGUCCUUUUAUUAUCCAAGCUAUAAGCUUUGAAAAUAAAUACGUGAUUCUGGAUAAAAACAUAAUGUUUGUUUCCAACUUCAAGGCUGUUUCCCCAAAGAAGUUAAAUCCACUUCGUGUUUUGUUUCCUUGCCAUGAUACUGGUAUCAAAAUGGAGUAGUUUUCAAAAUAAAAGCCUGACCAUAUUUAUUAGAGAUUCACAUAAAAAAAAGUGUUUCUCCUGUACCAUGAUUAAAGAUGAAAACAGACCAAACCAUCUUUUGAUCAUUUUGAUAGCAAUAAUGUCUGUACUAUGACAUGUAAACUACAUGAACAAAAGUAUGUGAACACCUGCUCAUCGAACAUCUCACUCCAAAAUCAUGGGUAUUAAUAUGGAAUUGGUCCCCCCUUUGCUGCUAUAACAGCCUCCACUCUUUUGGGAAGGCUUUCCAUUAGAUGUUGGAACAUUGCUGUGGGUACUUCCAUUCAGCCACGAGCAUUGGUGAGGUCGGGCACUGAUGUUGGGCGAUUAGGCCUGGCUCGCAGUCUGAGUUCCAAUUCAUCCUAAAAGUGUUCGAUGUGGUCGAGGUCAAGGCUCUAUGCAGGCCUGUCAAGUUCUUCCACACCGAUCUCAACAAACCAUUUCUGUAUGGACCUCGCUUUGUGGACGGUGGCAUUGUAAUGCUGAAACAGGAAAGGGCCUUCCCCAAACUGUUGCCACAAAGUUGGAAGCACUGAAUCGUCAAGAAUGUCAUUGUAUGCUGUAGCGUUAAGAUUUUCCUUCACUUGUAUUAAGGGGCCUAGCCCGAACCAUGAACAACCAUUAUUCCCCCUCCACCAAACUUUACCUUUGGCACUAUGCAUUGGGGCAGGUAGCGUUCUCCUGGCAUCCGCCAAACACAGAUUCAUCCAUCGGACUGCCAGAUGAUGAAGCGUGAUUCAUCACUCCAGAGAAUGUGUUUCCACUGCUCCAAAUCCAAUGGCGGCGAGCUUUACACCACUCCAGCUGAUGCUUGGCAUUGUGCAUGGUGAUCUUAGGCUUGUGUACGGCUGCUUGGCCAUGGAAACCCAUGUCAUGAAGCUCUCAAUGAACAGUUCUUGUGCUGAUGUUGCUUCCAAAGGAAGUUUGGAACUCGGUAGUGAGUGUUGCAACUAGUUCUGUUACGGUGACUAUAUUACCGGCACACUGGCAGUCACGUGUCAUGAGGGCAGUCAAAUUCCAUGUGACCAUUUAGUCAUGGUAAUUAGGCUUCUCCAAGCUCUGAUGCUGCUGAUGGUCAUUAGUAGCAUACCAAACUUGCUAACUGCCUGGCACUCUAUUGUCCUUCUAUCACUCUGACAUCAAUGCAAAUGUGAUCAAAAAUGUAAUAAAAAACUUACAUUUCUAUAGGCUAUGCAAUUGAGAAAACAGAGUGAUGGCCUCUUAAAAAGAGGAGGAUCCCAUCAGCUUUCAAUAGGCUAGGCCUCUCUUUAAAACAGGAGUAUAGCCUAUCUGGCUGGAAUGAAAAUGAACCACGAGAAAAGCGUCCUCCAUUCACUAUUUAAGUGCAUAGAUGACAUGUAUUUUUUCCUGCAAACCCUGUUUCGAGACAGUUGCAUGAUAAUGGUCCAUUAUAAAUCAAAACACACUUCACACGUGUUAUUUAGUAUACAGUUCCUUCAGGAAAGUAUUCAGACCCCUUGACUUUUUCCACAUUUUGUAAUGUUACAACCUUAUUCUAAAAUGGAUUUUAAAAGAUGCUCCUCAGCAAUCUACACAGAAUACCCCAAAAUGAUAAAGUGAAAACAGGUUUUUAGAAUUUUUGCAAAUGUAAUAAAAAUAGAAAUACCAUAUUUAAUAAGUAUUCAGACCCUUUGCUAUGAGACUCGAAAUUGAGCUUGAGUGCAUCCUGUUUCCAUUGAUCAUCCUUGAUGUUUCUACAACUUAUUUUGGAAUCCACCUGUGGUCAAUUCAGUUGAUUGGACAUGAUGUUGAAAGGCACACACCUGUCUUUAUAAUGUCCCACUGUUGACAGUGCAUGUCAGAGCAAAAACCAAGAUAUGAGGUCGAAGGAAUUGAGACAGGUUUGUGUCGAGGCACAGACAUGGGGAAGGAUACCAAAAAAUGUCUGCAGCAUUGAAGGUCCCCAAGAACACAGUGGCCUCUAUCAUUCUUAAAAGGAAGAUUGGAACCACCAAGACUUCCUAGAGCUGGCCACCUGGCCAAACUGAGCAAUCAGGGGAGAAGGGCCUUGGUCAGGGAGGUGACCAAGAACCUGAUGGUCACUCUGACAAGAGCUCUAGAGUUCCUCUGUGGAGAUCGGAGAAUCUUCCAGAAGGACAACCAUCUCUGCAGCACUCCACCAAUCAGGCCUUUAUGGUAGAGUGACCAGACAGAAGCCACUCCCCAGUAAAAGGCACAUGACAGCCCGCUUGGAGUUUGCCAAAAGG